Molecule: ribosomal RNA, 449 nt
Filed under: uncultured prokaryote
Description: bacterial SSU rRNA
Rfam family: Bacterial small subunit ribosomal RNA
Source: RNAcentral
UGGGGAAUCUUGCGCAAUGGGCGAAAGCCUGACGCAGCAACGCCGCGUGUGUGAUGAAGGCCUUCGGGUUGUAAAGCACUGUCAAGAGGGAAGAAUACGCGUUGGCUAAUACCCGGCGUGAAUGACGGUACCUCUGAAGGAAGCACCGGCUAACUCCGUGCCAGCAGCCGCGGCAAUACGGGGGGUGCAAGCGUUGUUCGGAAUCAUUGGGCGUAAAGCGCGUGUAGGCGGGCGAGCAAGUCGGGUGUGAAAGCCCGGGGCUUAACCCCGGAACUGCGCUCGAAACUGCUCGUCUUGAGUACGGAAGGGGGAAGCGGAAUUCUCGGUGUAGGGGUGAAAUCCGUAGAUAUCGGGAGGAACACCAAUGGCGAAGGCAGCUUCCUGGAUCGAUACUGACGCUGAGACGCGAAAGCGUGGGGAGCAAACAGGAUUAGAUACCCCCGUAGUCC